Molecule: ribosomal RNA, 497 nt
Filed under: uncultured bacterium
Lineage: Bacteria
Description: partial 16S ribosomal RNA
Rfam family: Bacterial small subunit ribosomal RNA
Source: RNAcentral
GAUGAACGCUGGCGGCGUGCCUAAUACAUGCAAGUCGAGCGAACGGACGAGAAGCUUGCUUCUCUGAUGGUAGCGGCGGACGGGUGAGUAACACGUGGAUAACCUACCUAUAAGACUGGGAGAACUUCGGGAAACCGGAGCUAAUACCGGAUAAUAUUUUGAACCGCAGGGUUCAAAAGUUAAAGACGGUCUUGCUGUCACUUAUAGAUGGAUCCGCGCUGCAUUAGCUAGUUGGUAAGGUAACGGCUUACCAAGGCAACGAUGCAUAGCCGACCUGAGAGGGUGAUCGGCCACACUGGAACUGAGACACGGUCCAGACUCCUACGGGAGGCAGCAGUAGGGAAUCUUCCGCAAUGGGCGCAAGCCUGACGGAGCAACGCCGCGUGAGUGAUGAAGGUCUUCGGAUCGUAAAACUCUGUUAUUAGGGAAGAACAUAUGUGUAAGUAACUGUGCACAUCUUGACGAUACCUAAUCAGAAAGCCCCGGCUAACUACGUG